Molecule: ribosomal RNA, 253 nt
Filed under: uncultured bacterium
Lineage: Bacteria
Description: partial 16S ribosomal RNA
Rfam family: Bacterial small subunit ribosomal RNA
Source: RNAcentral
UACGUAGGGGGCAAGCGUUGUCCGGAUUUACUGGGCGUAAAGCGUGCGCAGGCGGUUCGCCAAGUCAGGUGUGAAAUCCCCGGGCUUAACCUGGGAAUUGCGCUUGAAACUAGCGGGCUUGAGUGUGGCAGAGGGGGGUGGAAUUCCACGUGUAGCAGUGAAAUGCGUAGAGAUGUGGAGGAACACCGAUGGCGAAGGCAGCCCCCUGGGUCAACACUGACGCUCAUGCACGAAAGCGUGGGGAGCAAACAGG